AACGAACGCUGGCGGCAUGCCUAACACAUGCAAGUCGAACGAGACCUCCGGGACUAGUGGCGUACGGGUUCGUAACGCGUGGGAACCUGCCCUCAGGUUUGGCAUACCUCCCCGAAAGGGUGCUAAUACCGGAUAAUGUCUUCGGACCAAAGAUUUAUCGACUUUGGAUGGUUCCGCGUUGGAUUAGCUAGUUGGUAGGGUAAAAGCCUACCAAGGCGACGCUCCAUAGCUGGUCUGAGAGAAUGAUCAGCCACACUGGGAGUGGGACACGGCCCAGACUCCUACGGGAGGCAGCAGUGGGGGAUAUAGGACAGUGGCGGAAGUCCUGAUGGAGCAAGGCCGCGUGAGUGAUGAAGGCAUUAGGGUUGUAAAGCUCUUUUACCCGGGAUGAUAAUGACAGUACCGGGAGAAUAAGCCCCGGCUAACUCCGUG
This 432-nucleotide ribosomal RNA is filed under the name uncultured bacterium. RNAcentral's name for it is "partial 16S ribosomal RNA". It matches the Rfam family "Bacterial small subunit ribosomal RNA", at positions 29 to 507 of the family's 1533-position model. The record is from RNAcentral.